RNAcentral lists this long non-coding RNA (1326 nucleotides) under Amborella trichopoda. Its description in RNAcentral is "long non-coding RNA (ATRI_LNC004509)". The record is from RNAcentral. Lineage: Eukaryota; Viridiplantae; Streptophyta; Magnoliopsida; Amborellales; Amborellaceae.
UUUAAUUUCCAUGUAAGGAAAUUAUUAUCCUACCUCAGACACUGUCAUUUCUUACAAUGGAACAAUUAUAUCCACCCCAAUCCCAGAGCAUUCAACUUUUAUAAAUUUCUUCUAAAACAUUACCAUUAUAAUCAAUGGAUUGUAUCCUUUAGUUAUCCUCACCGACCUUAUAUCAUUAUAGCAUUCCAUCAAGACCUUAGACCUCAAAUUUACCCUGUACAUAUCUAUUUCACCCAACAUCCUCAAAUCCAAACCAUUGGAUGGUAUGAUUCUAAUCUCUUGAAUUUUUGGAUAUUUUAAACAGAAUUAUAGAAAGAGUUAAAAAUUCUCAUGUGCUACAUUAACAGAAUCCAGCCAGAAUGGAUUCUUUUGGAUGUCUAUACAGAAACCACAGUUUGGAAUGAUGAGACUCAUCGAGGAGCUGCACUGCUACACCAACUUCACAUAUGGCUUGCUGAUCAUCCUCGUCCUGCAGAAAUACAGACAUAUAGUUCCAGUGAUGAUACCUAUAUUAGACCCUCACACAGCCUGUCCAAUCCAUCUGCACCAAGCUACGAUUCCGAUGGUUAUCCCCUCAAUUAUGACACUGAUUGAAGACCACUGUUCAACAUCACUGUGGAUAUCACUAUUCUGUUGACAACACUGUUCAAAAUCACUGUGGAUAUCACUAUUCUGUCGGCAACACUGUUUAAAAUCACUGUAGAUAUCACUGUUCAAGAUAAGCAAGAAUCUCCACUGUUCACUGUUUAUGUUGGCUACCUGGCCAGUGUUCACUAUUUAUGUCGGCCACCUGUCCACUGUUCAUUGUUUAUGUCGGCCACCUGUCCACUGUACGUCUACUCUUACUAUUCAUAAUGACCACUUGUCUUAGCCAGUUGUCUUCCUUUAUUUUUGUUUUAAAUCCAGAUUUCAAGUUCGGCGCCUAUAUAACGCCUUUUAAGUCAGUUGUAAUUGUUUAAUAAUGCAUGUACGCUUGGGUGUGAGUAUAUCGACAUGUCUGCUUGCAUGUUCCCAUGCAGGUGAUGCAUGUGUUUGUAUUUUCAUGCAACACACACUUGGGCACAUGCAAAAUACAUAUUUAUAUAUGAUUUUACAUGUUCGCAUUGAGGAAAGAAUUAGAAAUAAAAUUCAAACAAGAUAGGAGAAUGUAACAUGAUAAAAGACAGUGUAUAUGUCUGCUUGCAUGUUCCCAUGCAGGUGAUGCAUGUGGUUGUAUUUUCAUGCGACACACACUUGGCCAAGCACAUGCAAAAUACAUAUUUAUAUAUGAUUUUACAUGUUCGCAUUGAGGAAAGAAUUAGAAAUAAAAUUCAAACAAGAUAGGAG